GGGGGAAUAUUGGGCAAUGGGGGAAACCCUGACCCAGCAACGCCGCGUGAAGGAAGAAGGCCUUCGGGUUGUAAACUUCUUUUAUGAGGGACGAAUAAUGACGGUACCUCUUGAAUAAGCCACGGCUAACUACGUGCCAGCAGCCGCGGUAAUACGUAGGUGGCAAGCGUUGUCCGGAUUUACUGGGUGUAAAGGGCGCGUAGGUGGGAAAACAAGUCAGAUGUGAAAUACCGGGGCUUAACUCCGGGGCUGCAUUUGAAACUGUUUUUCUUGAGUACUGGAGAGGCAGGCGGAAUUCCCAGUGUAGCGGUGAAAUGCGUAGAUAUUGGGAGGAACACCAGUGGCGAAGGCGGCCUGCUGGACAGCAACUGACACUGAGGCGCG
This 384-nucleotide ribosomal RNA is filed under the name uncultured Oscillospiraceae bacterium. Its description in RNAcentral is "bacterial SSU rRNA". It matches the Rfam family "Bacterial small subunit ribosomal RNA", at positions 355 to 755 of the family's 1533-position model. The record is from RNAcentral. Lineage: Bacteria; Bacillati; Bacillota; Clostridia; Eubacteriales; Oscillospiraceae.